RNAcentral lists this ribosomal RNA (547 nucleotides) under Phenoliferia glacialis. RNAcentral's name for it is "eukaryotic LSU rRNA". The stretch from base 127 to 280 matches the Rfam family "5.8S ribosomal RNA". Lineage: Eukaryota; Fungi; Basidiomycota; Microbotryomycetes; Kriegeriales; Kriegeriaceae. The record is from RNAcentral.
AGCCUGACCUCCACUUCUAACACUGUGCACUUGAUGGCGAGGUAAUGGAACUUUCGAGUGAAACUACCUUGCGGCUUCAUUUUAAACAUUAGUCAAAGUAUGUCAUGAAAUAAAAAACAAAAAAAAAACUUUCAACAACGGAUCUCUUGGCUCUCGCAUCGAUGAAGAACGCAGCGAAAUGUGAUAAGUAAUGUGAAUUGCAGAAUUCAGUGAAUCAUCGAAUCUUUGAACGCACCUUGCGCUCCCUGGUAUUCCGGGGAGCAUGCCUGUUUGAGUGUCAUGAACUCUUCAACCCACCAGUUUCUAGUAGACUGCGUUGGUGUUUGGAUUUUGAGCGUUGCUAGUCUGACUAGCUCGUUCGUAAUAUAUUAGCAUCUCUAAUUCGAAUUCGGAUUGACUCAGUGUAAUAGACUAUUCGCUGAGGACACUUUUAUUAGUGGCCGUACUAGAACCAGUAGAAGCUUCCAACUAUUGUAGUCAACUUUAAUUUAGACCUCAGAUCAGGCAGGAUUACCCGCUGAACUUAAGCAUAUCAAUAAGCGGAGGA